CAAAUUCACAGCAGCGCUCAGAGCUCCGCCGCCGGGCGCUGCGCUGCUGAUGAAAGCUGGACUUGGAGGCGAGGCCUGCCGCGCCUGGGCCUCCUCGGGGCUCCCUCCCCUCUCCUCUAUUCUUCAAUAAUCCUUAACCCUUUUCUCCCCUCUGGAGAUGUCCGUGGGGGGAGGGGCGAGGCGGUGGAGCCUCCUGAUUUUCUGCCCGUCUUGCCUUCAGCAGAGCCAGUCAACAUACUGAGCUAAUUCCUGAUUAUCCGGGAGUGCAUCCAGGGAAAGUAGAGAGACAUCAAUUAGUUUAACAUUCAGCCCUAUGACAACUCCUCAUUCACCUUCCCCCAGGAAAAAGGAAUAAUUAAACACCGGCUGAUCCAUAUCAUGAUCAGAUAUCAAUUUUGGAACCAUAGAAAAAGAGGUUUGCAAAAGUGAAGGACAAAGUACAUCCAGUUCUCUAGGGUUCUUCAAUGAAACCAUAUGUGACUGCAGUUUUCUUUGAAGGAGGUUUUUGAUAAUGCAUAUUCUAAUUUCCUACAUUUUUGUCAGUUUUGUGGUUGAGAAUCUGCCUGCUAAUGCAGGGGACACGGGUUCGAGCCCUGGUCUGGGAAGAUCCCACAUGCCACGGAGCAACUGGACCCAUGAGCCACAACUACUGAGCCUGCGCAUCUGGAGCCUGUGCUCCGCAACGAGAGGCCGCGAUAGUGAGAGCCCCGCGCACCACGAUGAAGAGUGGCCCCCCACUUGCCACAACUAGAGAAAGCCCUCGCACAGAA
This is a long non-coding RNA of Globicephala melas (long-finned pilot whale), 770 nucleotides long. RefSeq lists it as uncharacterized. The record is from RefSeq and is a predicted model, not a curated record. NCBI's taxonomy places the organism in Eukaryota, Metazoa, Chordata, Mammalia, Artiodactyla, Delphinidae.